GAUGAACGCUGGCGGCGUGCCUAAUACAUGCAAGUCGAGCGAACGGACGAGAAGCUUGCUUCUCUGAUGUUAGCGGCGGACGGGUGAGUAACACGUGGAUAACCUACCUAUAAGACUGGGAUAACUUCGGGAAACCGGAGCUAAUACCGGAUAAUAUUUUGAACCGCAUGGUUCAAAAGUGAAAGACGGUCUUGCUGUCACUUAUAGAUGGAUACGCGCUGCAUUAGCUAGUUGGUAAGGUAAAGGCUUACCAAGGCAACGAUGCAUAGCCGACCUGAGAGGGUGAUCGGCCACACUGGAACUGAGACACGGUCCAGACUCCUACGGGAGGCAGCAGUAGGGAAUCUUCCGCAAUGGGCGAAAGCCUGACGGAGCAACGCCGCGUGAGUGAUGAAGGUCUUCGGAUCGUAAAACUCUGUUAUUAGGGAAGAACAUAUGUGUAAGUAACUGUGCACAUCUUGACGGUACCUAAUCAGAAAGCCACGGCUAACUACGUG
Molecule: ribosomal RNA, 497 nt
Filed under: uncultured bacterium
Lineage: Bacteria
Description: partial 16S ribosomal RNA
Rfam family: Bacterial small subunit ribosomal RNA
Source: RNAcentral